ACGCAAGCGAAGAUCAGACAAGAGAUGGCUUCCUGUUCUUGGUGGUGUAGCUGAAAUGAAACUUCCUGCCUCUGAGAGCCAAGGUGAAGGCAGGCUCUCAGUUCGCUGUGUGACAUCACUCCCGUUUGCUUCACUUGAAACCAGAAGCAAGGUUUAGGGUUUGGGGAACAAGUCCAGGAAACUGCGUCUUCUGAUAAGACAGAUAAAGCGAAUGUAGUUUGAAACAGAUCAGCGUUUAGGGGGUUUAUAUUAGAAAUAGAGGUUAGGUUUGGCGUCCGAUUUGUUCUUCGUCCUCUUUUGGACCCGACUCGGCUUGAAUCGUGGGUGACCACACACACCCUUACGCCCCGGACAUGGCGGGUCUCCGAGGUCUGAUGAUCUUGCUGGUCCUGAUGGUUGGUUUGGCUCACUGUCAAGAGAAAAACACGAGUAAGUAGUGAUUCAUAUUUAGCCAAAAUAAAAUUUUGGUUAAAUAUGUAUUUAUUCAUUAAAUGCAAAUGCUUAGUUCCUAAAAGCCACCAGCUUUGCUUCAUGUUGCCCAAACCUUUAAAGCUGCUCAGUCUUCCUACAUUGUCUUCAUAUACAACCACCAGACUCAGAGACAGCGGCGGUUCUAGACCAAACUUACCAGGGGGCCCAGUGUUUUCUCCUGGGGUGAGGAACAAAAGAACAACAACAA
This is a long non-coding RNA of Poecilia latipinna (sailfin molly), 679 nucleotides long. RefSeq lists it as uncharacterized. The record is from RefSeq and is a predicted model, not a curated record. NCBI's taxonomy places the organism in Eukaryota, Metazoa, Chordata, Actinopteri, Cyprinodontiformes, Poeciliidae. The transcript has 2 exons.